UAAAACCUGCAAGACUCCACUUACAU
This 26-nucleotide transfer RNA is filed under the name Draco ornatus. Its description in RNAcentral is "partial tRNA-Ala". The record is from RNAcentral. Lineage: Eukaryota; Metazoa; Chordata; Lepidosauria; Squamata; Agamidae.